This 1498-nucleotide long non-coding RNA is filed under the name Homo sapiens (human). RNAcentral's name for it is "non-protein coding lnc-C6orf201-2:3". The record is from RNAcentral. Lineage: Eukaryota; Metazoa; Chordata; Mammalia; Primates; Hominidae.
AUUUUGAUACAGGCAUGCAAAGUGAAAUAAUCACAUCAUGGGGAAUGGGGUAUUCAGCCCUUCAAGCAUUUACCCUUUAUGCUAUAAACAAUCCAGUUAUACCCCUAGUUAUUUUAAAAUGUACAGUUAAGUGAUUGUUGACUAUAGUCACUCUGUUGUGCUGUCAAUAGUAGGUCUUAUUCAUUCUUUCUUUUUUCUCAGCAUAGCUUUGGCUAUUCUUUUUUCUCAGGAUAACUUUGGCUUUUGUGGUUCCAUAUACAUUUUAGGAUUGUUUUUUCUAUUUCUGUAAAGAAUGUUAUUGGUAUUUUGAUAGGCAUUACAUGGGAUCCGUAGAUGGCUUUGGUAGUAUGGACAUUUUAACAAUAUUGAUUCUUCCAGUCCAUGAACAUGGAAUAUCUUGUCAUUUUUUGGUGCCGAUAUUGAAUUUUAUCAAAUAUUUUUUCAGCAUCAAUUGGAGUGAUUAUUGUUUUUAUCUUUCACUCUGUUGAUAUGAUGUAUCACAUUGAUUUGCAUAUGUUGGACCAUUUUUGCAUCCCAGGGAUAAAUCUUACUUGGUCAUGGUGAAUGAUAUUUCUAAUGUAUUGUUGAAUUUCGUUUGUAGUAUUUUUUUUGAGAAUUUUUGCAUCAAUACUAAUCAGAGCUAUUGGCCUGUAGUUUUCUUUUUUCUGAUGUGUCUUUGUCUGGUUUUGGUAUCAGGGCAAUACUGGCUUCAAAGAAUGAGUUUGGAAGUAUUCCCUGCUCCUCUAUUUUUGGAAGAGUUUGAGUAAGAUUGGUCUUAGUUCUUUAAAUAUUUGGUAGAAUUCAGCAGUGAAGCCAUGGGUUCCAGGCUUUUCUUGACUGGAAGACUUUUUAUUAUGGCUUCAAUCUUGUUACUUAUUAUUGGUCUGUUCAUGUUUUAUACUUCUUCCUGGUUCAAUCUUGGUAGGUUGCAUGUGUCUAGGAGUUUGUCCAUUUCUUCUAGGCUUUCCAAUUUACUGGCAUACAGUUGCUCACAGUAGCUACUAAUGAUCCUUUGAAUUUCUGCAGUAUCAUUUGUAUUAUCUCCUUUUUCAUUUCUGAUUUUAUUAAUUUGCAUCUUCUCUCUUUUUUCUUACUCUGGCUAAAGGUUUGUCAAUUUUGUUUAACUUUUUAAAAACCCAACUUUUUGUUUCAUUGCUCUUUUGUACUGUUUUCUUUAUUUCUACUCUGAUCUUUAUUACUUCUUUUCUACUAAUUUUGGAUUUGGUUUGCUCUUGAUUUUCUAAUUCUUCAAGAUGUAUCAUUAGAUUAUUUGAAGUUUUUCCUCUUUUUUGAUGUAGACACUUAUGUCCAUAUACUGCCCUCUUAAUACUGCUCUCGCUGUAUCCAGUAGGUUUUGGUAUGUUGUGUUUCCAUUAUCAUUCAGGAGCAUAUUGUUGCAUUUCCAUGUUUUUGUAUGGUUUCCAAAAUUCCUCUUGUUAUUAAUUUCCAGUUUUUUCAUUCAUGGUCAGAUAAGAUGCUUGAUAUGAUUUCAAUUUUU